This 445-nucleotide ribosomal RNA is filed under the name uncultured organism. RNAcentral's name for it is "partial 16S ribosomal RNA". It matches the Rfam family "Bacterial small subunit ribosomal RNA", at positions 335 to 797 of the family's 1533-position model. The record is from RNAcentral.
ACUCCUACGGGAGGCAGCAGUGGGGAAUAUUGGACAAUGGGCGCAAGCCUGAUCCAGCCAUGCCGCGUGAGUGAUGAAGGCCCUAGGGUUGUAAAGCUCUUUCACCGGUGAAGAUAAUGACGGUAACCGGAGAAGAAGCCCCGGCUAACUUCGUGCCAGCAGCCGCGGUAAUACGAAGGGGGCUAGCGUUGUUCGGAUUUACUGGGCGUAAAGCGCGCGUAGGCGGACUAUUAAGUCAGGGGUGAAAUCCCGGGGCUCAACCCCGGAACUGCCUUUGAUACUGGUAGUCUUGAGUUCGAGAGAGGUGAGUGGAAUUCCGAGUGUAGAGGUGAAAUUCGUAGAUAUUCGGAGGAACACCAGUGGCGAAGGCGGCUCACUGGCUCGAUACUGACGCUGAGGUGCGAAAGCGUGGGGAGCAAACAGGAUUAGAAACCCUAGUAGUCCC